UAUGACGACACGAAUAAAUUAGCAAAGUAGAUUAACAUCAUACAUUACUUGGGAGGGUUUUUCUUCCCUCAUAACAAAAAAUGUUAUUAUUUAAAGGCACACACAACAAAAAUCAAAAUGGUAGAUACUGAUGUAAAUAAAGCCUCAUGGCAGCUUCGAAAACUUUUUGCGGCGUUUUGAUAGACCUCAGCGGUACGGUUCAUGUUGGUGAAGAGCUGAUUUCCAACGCAAAGAAUGGUCUAUUAAGACUGCAAAAAGCAAAUAUACCAUACCGCUUUGUAACGAACACAACUAAAGAGUCAAAGGAUUUGCUUGUAAAACGUCUGAAGAGGUUACGUUUAGAUGUCCAUGAUUCACAAAUCUUUACUUCAUUGUUAGCUGCAAAACAUUAUGUUACAGAAAAUAAAUUGAAUCCUCAUUUAAUGCUGCAUGACGACGCCCUAUCAGAAUUCUCAGAUAUUCAGACAAAUGGAAAGCCUGAUGCUAUUCUUAUUGGCCUCGCUCCAGGCAAGUUCGAUUACAGAAGUUUGAACAAAGCAUUCAGUUUUAUUUUAGACGGAGCAAGUUUAAUUGCAAUCCACAAGGCACGUUACUAUAAACGAUCUGAUGGUUUAGCAUUGGGACCAGGUCCUUUUAUUUCCGCGUUGGAAUAUGCAACCGGUAAAAAAACGGUUGUGAUUGGAAAGCCAGAAAAAGAGUUUUUUCAAAGCGCAGUUAAAAGUAUGCACCUUGAAGAAAACGCAACUUACUUCAUGAUAGGAGAUAAGACAAAAAUGCUUCUAAAUAUCGAGAAUAAAGUUAAUGCACUAUCUUUGUUGUUGUUUUUUCAUUCCACAUUUGCUUUAUGCACUGACAAUGUUGAAAAAAUUUGUGGAUGGCGGAUUUUAUUUUACGGAUUUUGAACAAAGAUCGAAGGCAGAAAAACAUUUAGAGAUUUUUUGUAGAAAAAUCUGUUUGACAUUUUACUACAACAAGAAUUAUGGAUAUUGUUCACUUUUUUAUACUGCUACUGUAAGAGGCCUUUCAUUAUUAUAAACGGUUUUGAAAACCUGUUGACAAUAACGAGUUGUUUUGAUUAAAAAAACUCAACUUUGCGACAACUUUACAAUAAAAGUAGUGCGGUAAGAUGACAAUACUGUUGGGUAUUUACCACGAGAACUUGCGAGGAUAAUGAAAUAUUUUUUGGGCAAAGGAGCUUCAAUGUAUGUGAAACCGCCUUCACGCCAUUACCGACGAUCACCAUUGGUAAGCGACAUUGAAAUUCCCUGUAUUGUAUAUUUAAAAAUGAACUCUACAUUAAAAAAUGCACAGCUUGUAGAACGCUACCUCCAAUCGUUAUACAAACCCAAAGGACGAGAAAAUACUUAGAUCUUUGAUCACUGAAGUGCUUCCGGAGCGGUGGGUUAGAAAAUAUCUAAAUCUGCUGAUGAUUUUGAUUUAGACUUGUAAUACUUGUGUUGUCGAAAGUAAAAAUAGGUGAAAACACAUACAAUUUUUUUUUUCAAAUUAAAUUUUCCCAAAUCAGCUUCCUAGGCUAUUUCACGUGACAUGAUCUUUCGCGAAUCCGCAGGUCAGCAUUUUUCGCGGGUAUUUACUUUCGCGAAAAUGGCAAAAAAAAACGCGAAACUUUAUUUCCGUAAAGUAUAGUUCUUGCUAAUAUUUUCCUUAACCCUAUUUGGUAUGGGGGGCAUAAAGUGUCCCCGGCAUUUUCAAAGUCUCAUUACUUUUUAAUUACUGGAUAAAAUUCCUUGAAAUUUUAGGACUUUUCUUAACUUUUAUAGGUCUUUCGGACAAUUAAAUUUUUUUUUACAAAAAUUGUCCUGUCAAUGUUACUUUGUCCUUUAUUCACAGGUGGUCAUAUCAACUUUUGCUGUAGUGCUAAAAAUAAAUGUUUUAUAAACUAACCAGUUGUAGGAAUAUGUGAUUAUGCAUGUGAUACUGACAUAAAGUCAUCAUACAAUAUUGACAUACACAAUGUGUAAUUUGCAGAUCGGAAUACUGGUAAUUUACAGACUGGAAUAUUUCUAUUCUCCUAUUUUUAUAUCUAUCGUCAUGCGGUGACGUCAUAGGUCAUUUUGUCACAUGUCAAUCCAAUUUGCCUUGUUUGAGUACUUACCGACAUGAAUGCGCAUUGAUAUACCAAGUUUUAUUCCAUGAUAACUACUAACACCAAGGUUCUCAAAUAUCGAUUUUUUAAACAAGUUUGAAUUCUGAUCGAUUUCCAUUCUCUCCCUAGAGAAAUUCUUUGGUAACACCUGCAAAUGUUUCUAAUUAUGACUUACAUUCUUAUAUUAGGUUUUUUAAUGACUAGUACUGCAAAUAUUUUUAAAAAAGAUAAAAAACACGAUAAUUUCCAAAAAAAAGAUAUAUUUUCGCCAACCAUUGUCUCAUUAUGACGUCAUUACUUCCUGUGAUGACAUGCCAACCAAAAUAUUUUGUCAUUAAUUAAGUCACAACAUAUUGAUGCUUCUUUGUGCCAAGUUUCGUCACUUAAAACCAAACUGAUCAAAAGUUACAGCCCGCGGGCACUUUAUGCCCCCCCCCCUACUCACAAGGGUCAAAAAAAGCCCAUACCAAAUAGGGUUAACUAUAAUAUCACCAAGAAAAAUUGAUACAGAUAAGAAUUCACAUAAGUUUUCCACGUGUCGCAAUUGAAUACAUGUUUCUUUUAAAAACAUGACAUACGCAUCUAUAGGCUUAAAUUUGGUCAUUUUAAGCAUAUGGUAAGCAUUAUGUGAGCCUAAGAAAAUGUUGUAAAGUUUUUGUUCUUUGUUUCGUGAGCAGUUUUUCUUUUUAUUCUUAAUGUAUUAUUAACCAGUAUGUACAUACUGGUUAAUUCAGAUAUUUAUAAUUUUCUGUAAUUACUGAUGUUAAAAAUUCAAAUGCAAAUAUUUUUUUUUUAAAUAAGCAUAUUUUGAGCCUCAUCAUGUGUUUUCCAUAAGCAAUAAGUUUUUUUGUCAGUAAGCAUAAACUCCUCCAGCCUUAUUUUGAAUUUCAAUUGCUCAUAAAAAACAUGUAGCUUUUCAUCCACUUAGGAUGUGAAAGAUGAUAUUGAUGGAGCACAGAAAGCUGGUAUGUUGGGAAUUUUGGUCAAGACAGGAAAAUAUCGCAAAAACGAUGAAGGUACGAUCAACCCUGCUCCUUACCGCACUGUUGACAGCCUUGCUGAUGCAGUAGAAAUCAUU
Molecule: RNA transcript, 3185 nt
Organism: Hydractinia symbiolongicarpus
Lineage: Eukaryota; Metazoa; Cnidaria; Hydrozoa; Anthoathecata; Hydractiniidae
Gene name: haloacid dehalogenase-like hydrolase domain-containing protein 2
Exons: 6
Source: RefSeq, a predicted model, not a curated record